AAACAUCAGAAGAAGAUGGAAGGCACUCAAUGACCACAGAGGCUACACCUGCCAAUGAUCAAGAUAGACAUGGGAUCCAUGAAGAUGAAAUCCAGAUAAGUGGAUCUGAGUCAGAUAAAUCUUCCCUGGAGCCUGAAGAUGUUUCAUGUUCAAGUAAUGAGGAAAAAUGUUUACGACGAAAUGGGAGCAAGCUCUCUGCGGCUGCUGAACCAUUCAAUCCAG
RNAcentral lists this unclassified non-coding RNA (222 nucleotides) under Hevea brasiliensis (rubber tree). The record is from RNAcentral. Lineage: Eukaryota; Viridiplantae; Streptophyta; Magnoliopsida; Malpighiales; Euphorbiaceae.